Molecule: ribosomal RNA, 301 nt
Filed under: uncultured bacterium
Lineage: Bacteria
Description: partial 16S ribosomal RNA
Rfam family: Bacterial small subunit ribosomal RNA
Source: RNAcentral
CAGCCGCCACGGUAAUACGAAGGGGGCUAGCGUUGUUCGGAUUUACUGGGCGUAAAGCGCACGUAGGCGGAUCGAUCAGUCAGGGGUGAAAUCCCAGAGCUCAACUCUGGAACUGCCUUUGAUACUGUCGAUCUGGAGUAUGGAAGAGGUGAGUGGAAUUCCGAGUGUAGAGGUGAAAUUCGUAGAUAUUCGGAGGAACACCAGUGGCGAAGGCGGCUCACUGGUCCAUUACUGACGCUGAGGUGCGAAAGCGUGGGGAGCAAACAGGAUUAGAUACCCCGGUAGUCCCUGUCUCUUAUAC